CACGUAGGGCGCAAGCGUUGUCCGGAAUUAUUGGGCGUAAAGAGCUCGUAGGCGGUCUGUUACGUCUGCUGUGAAAACCCGGGGCUUAACCCUGGGCUUGCAGUGGAUACGGGCAGACUAGAGGCAGGUAGGGGAGAAUGGAAUUCCCGGUGUAGCGGUGAAAUGCGCAGAUAUCGGGAGGAACACCGGUGGCGAAGGCGGUUCUCUGGGCCUGACCUGACGCUGAGAAGCGAAAGCGUGGGGAGCGAACAGG
Molecule: ribosomal RNA, 253 nt
Filed under: uncultured bacterium
Lineage: Bacteria
Description: partial 16S ribosomal RNA
Rfam family: Bacterial small subunit ribosomal RNA
Source: RNAcentral